RNAcentral lists this ribosomal RNA (709 nucleotides) under Globisporangium irregulare. RNAcentral's name for it is "eukaryotic LSU rRNA". It matches the Rfam family "Eukaryotic large subunit ribosomal RNA", at positions 81 to 634 of the family's 3401-position model. Lineage: Eukaryota; Oomycota; Peronosporomycetes; Pythiales; Pythiaceae. The record is from RNAcentral.
UAGUAACGGCGAGUGAAGCGGGAUGAGCUCAAGCUUAAAAUCUCUGUGCCAGUUUGGCAUGGCGAAUUGUAGUCUAUAGAGGCGUUGUCAGUGCGGCUGUGCGGGGUAAGUUCCUUGGAAGAGGACAGCAUCGAGGGUGAUACUCCCGUUUGUACCUGUGCGGCUUGCGCGUACGACACGUUUUCUUCGAGUCGCGUUGUUUGGGACUGCAGCGCAAAGUAGGUGGUAAAUUCCAUCUAAAGCUAAAUAUUGGUGCGAGACCGAUAGCGAACAAGUACCGUGAGGGAAAGAUGAAAAGAACUUUGAAAAGAGAGUUAAAGAGUACCUGAAACUGCUGAAAGGGAAGCGAAUCGUAUCCAGUGUCUAUAAUCUGCGACAUAUUUCAUUGGCGACAGUGUGCGUGCUUUUGCGUCGGAAGCGGCUUUUGUUGCUCUGUGCUUUUGCUGUGCGCGCUGUUGCUGUUGCCCUGUGUUGCGGUGGGACGUCAGAGUCAGUUCGUAUGCUGCGGGAAAUGGCCGCCGAGGAGGUAGGUCAGGAUUUCGGUCUUGGCUGUUAUAUCUUGGUGGUUUGUUGUCGUGGUUGGGACUGAGGUGCCUACAAUGUGCUUUUGAGUGUGCCGGGUUCUCAUUUGGUGGACUGUUUGGAUAGCUUGCUAUGCUUGUGGUUUUUUCAUCGAGUGAUUGAGUCUGGUGGUAACUUAUUGCCGUUC